AGGACGAACGCUGGCGGCGUGCUUAACACAUGCAAGUCGAGCGGUAAGGCCUUUCGGGGUACACGCGCGGCGAACGGGUGAGUAACACGUGGGUGAUCUGCCCUGCACUCUGGGAUAAGCCUGGGAAACUGGGUCUAAUACCGGAUAUGACCUGCUCUCGCAGUGGGGGUGGGUGGAAAGAUUUAUCGGUGCAGGAUGGGCCCGCGGCCUAUCAGCUUGGUUGGUGGGUAAUGGCCUACCGAAGGCGACGGACGGGUAGCCGACCUGGAGGACGGGUCGACCGGCCACGACGUCGGGAACUGAGACCACGGCCCAGACCUCCGACGGGA
Molecule: ribosomal RNA, 329 nt
Filed under: uncultured soil bacterium
Lineage: Bacteria
Description: bacterial SSU rRNA
Rfam family: Bacterial small subunit ribosomal RNA
Source: RNAcentral